This is a long non-coding RNA of Columba livia (rock pigeon), 5021 nucleotides long. RefSeq lists it as uncharacterized. The record is from RefSeq and is a predicted model, not a curated record. NCBI's taxonomy places the organism in Eukaryota, Metazoa, Chordata, Aves, Columbiformes, Columbidae. The transcript is spliced from 7 exons.
UGCGGCCGGAGCGCGGCGCCAGUUCCGAGCGGCUGUGGCGGCGGGAGGGCGGCGCUCCCGCCUCCCCUGGCCCCGGCGGGGGCUGUGCCAACAGCUGGCCCCGUUCCCGGCACCCGCUGCGGGUUGUGGCUCCGCGCCGGCGACCCUCCCUCCCUUCGUUCGCCGGUCAGCCAGGCCGCACCGCCUCAGCUGGGGGCGGAGGCCCCGCUCGGACCGCCGGCCCCGAGGAGCCGGGAGGGCCCGGGGUCCUCAUCUCCCGCCCCACCCGGGACUGUGUGAGGCGCUGAGGGACGGGGAGCUCUGCCCUCAGACCCGCGGGUGGCGAGGGCUGCUCCUCAAGGGGGAACGGCCCGAAAACGGGCAAGGAGAGGUGGUGGCUCUGAAACGAAGACAAAACUGAACAGCGGAGUCAGUUACACUGUGAAGCGGCAUUAUUUCUUUUAUCAAUACUGGGGACCAUCCUCCACAAGUGCUGCCAAGACUGGAUGCUCUUGUGUCACUUAUAUUCACAUAAUUAUUAUAUAUGUGUUACAAUUUUUGAAAAUUUUGACGUGCAUCUAAGUAAUAACUGGUGAUGUUGGUUAUAAUUGUUUAGUUUCUUACCUGCCAUACAUCUAUUAGUUAAAUAUAAGCUAAGCACUCUGCUGCCAAACAGUGUAUCACUUCAUCUUCUGUCUCCUCACGCUGAAGGAUCUAAAACUUGAAAAACAUGCCCUUGUUUUGCAGGUGGUCAGAAAGUGUUGAUCAUGAUGGGGGCGUCUUUUAUAACUUAAUCACAGUCUGCAUUAAUUUAGCAGCUUCAGCUCAAGCUCAGGUUGGCGUGUGGGGGUCACAGUUAUUUUACUAAAAGAGGGAUAAGUUAGGGUAAAGGUUUAAGGAAAAUUAUCUGUUGUGUUCACUUUCUUUUUAGUGCAACAAGCAAAGAGAUGACGGGCAGCAGGCACCCGGCUGCAUUGCAAGUUAGCCCUGUCCUAACUAGGCUGGACACUCAGCCCAGGUGAACUGUGUGGCUGCGGCAUCGUGUGCGGACAAUUCCUGCUUAGAUAUUCCUGCUUAGAUAAUUCACCACCUUGGUUUAAAAGAAUGUUUACGGCCCAUUAAAAUGCCAUAAAAGCAACAACAACAAACAAAUCCCCGACAAUAAACUAUCCUAAACCUUGCAAAACUCCUUCAAGACAAUGUAAAGCUUUCACCUCAGGACAUUAUUUGAUCUCGUGCCUUCCCAGCUUUACUGAUUCUCAUUGCGUUAAUUCCGCUGUUGUUAUCAAGGGUUUGGGCUCGAUGUCACAUUAAAUCUCAGCUGAAAGUAAGCUAAAUCUGAGGAGAAUAAAUAUUAAUGACACCGGUAUAAAGUCUAGAUUUGGAGACUUGGUGCAGUAUUAGAGCGUUUAAUAAUACCGUAGAAACAGGAUGUGUGUUAUUCACUGCUUAAAUAUUCCAGAUACUUGUCCAGUCCUGGGCAGCUCUUUAUAUACUAAUAAAGUGUAACGUGAUCGAUACUGGUGCGUAAAACUCAUCGAUACGUCAGUGGAUUUAGAACUGACACCCUCUGGCAUCUCUGCCGAGAUUGUGAGUGACGGGGGGUAUCGCUGAUGAAAUCCUGCACCGAGAUAAUUGCACCCAGCACAGAAAGCUUUUUUUUUUGUGGUUAAUAGCCCACUUUUAAUCCACAGAGCGCCCUCCUAUCAUGUUUAGUAGCACUAAUGCACCUUUAAUGCAAUAAUUUAUUUUUUGAACCAUUUUAAUUGGCCUAGUCUCCGUGACAUUCUGCUCCCGGCAGCUUCGAUACGUUACAAGCUUCUUCGCUUUUGUUUGCUUGGGAAUUUCUUUGGUGUCUCCAGCUUUUGUGUUAGGUGUUUACUGCCUAAUUAUUCCUUCGUUGUCCCUGCGGUAUUUGUGACUCAGGAGCUUUAUCAGGUUCUCCCUCUCUGCCCCACCAGUCACGUCCUUCACGGACUUUUGAUUUUCCCUCUUGAUUAAUCACGAUGACCCUUCACUGUAACUUUAGUAAUUUUAGAUAGGCUUUUGGAAAUGGGGCGACCGGAUCGGCAUCAGUCGCCAAAACGUGGUAUUUAAUACACCAGCAUAAUGAUGUUUAUUAUUUUGGUCUCUAUUUCUCUCCUAACAGCUGCCAGCGCCUGGUUUGACUGCGGCUGAGCCUUAAACUGAUCUUCUUGGACAACUCUCAACAAUCGCCCCCAAAUCUCUUCUUUCCUGAGAGGAGAUGAACCAGAGCCAAGCCACCGAUACCAAAUUAACCGAGUAAACUGGAGGGUUUUUUACUAGAUUUUCCUAUGUGUCGUUGCCAUUACAAAUGACCUGGGCGACUCCAGACUGGGAAAAUCCAGACCUCAAAGUUGCUGAUUCUUGCAGUUGUUGGAACGGGAUGUUUUUAAAAUCCUCAUCUCUAAGACAUUUAGGGAAGAAAUGUGGAGGGGACAAAUUGAAGCAACUACGCUGUUGAAGAAAAGCAGGAAAAUUUCCUCAAAAAGCAUCUUCCGUGAGUUUCGCUUCUGCCCUUUGGGUUUCCUGAGCCGCAGCAGCUCGUCCUUCUGACAGCUACAAUUUUACUUGAUUUACGCAAGUCAAGGACACGUCGUUGUUCAUCAUCCUCCUUCCCAAAUUGGGUGUCGACAGCUGGACCAGCAGCACAAGAACCUCUGAGUCUCAAAGCAGUUCUUGAAAUCACAUCUCGUUGGGGUGGUCUGCUUGGGAAACCAACACUUCUCCCUGUGUUUCUGGGGUGUUUGAUCCCGCAGGACCUCAGAGCUUGUCGGAACUGUUGGUUUGGCUGUCAGAAGUGAGGAGCCUCUACGGUGGCACGUGGUGUCCAUCUAAAAUGGAUGUUACAUCAUCAGGUUGCACCAGGGGAGGUUGAGGUUGGAUGUGGGAACAAUUUCUUCCCCAAAGGGCUGUGGGGCAUUGAACAGGCUGCCCAGGGCAGUGCUGGAGUCACCAGCCCUGGAGGGCUGGACAGACGGACAUGAGGUUCUCAGGACAUCGGGCAGUGCCAGGGGUGGGGGAACGGUUGGAUUCGAUCUUGAGGGUCUUUUCCAACCAAAAUGAUUCUAUCAUUUGAAGUUAACCACAUCUCGAUGGGACCUUUUGCUUAUUUCCCACACUACAAAUGAUUAAUCACUUUUUGAAGCCAGGCGUGCAGAACUGCUUCUCGUGGGGUACGAGGCUUUUGGUGGCGACCGCGCAAAAUGGUUCGUCUGCCUGCAGAGGCUUCUGGCGAGUCGAGAACUGCAAGAGGACACCGUGGCCAAGCAUCAUCUCCUGCAAACAUCGCAUUUUUGGGAUUCAGGACAUCUGCCUUGCUCGUCUUCGUUUUGCAGAGCGUGUUUUAUAGGAAAAAGCUUGAAUUGGGCUGUCAGGAGGAGAUGGAGUCCUGGAGCAUGUGUUUUUACACAGCUUCUGGUCCGGAGCAGAUGACGUGACCUGCCCAGGCUUGACAUGAUCAGCUGGAGGGGAAAAAGCCUCUUGGAUUUACAAGCAGCUACAACCCCUCGUCUGAUCCAGAGCUGCUGUGUGAGCCCUUUAUUGAAACGUGCCCGUUCCAGUCAGUGACACAAAAGCUGGUGGUUGGAUCCUGACGCCCUUUUAAUACAAUUUUGCCAGUUCUCACGUGCAGAAGCUUCGUGGGCACCGAGCAGGAGGUCAGGAGCUGCUUGAGAAGAUUAUCUGCAUUUCGCUUCACCGUGCAUGAUAUCGCAAAAGCGUUCUGCAACGCGGUUAUUUGCAGCGUCUCGCACGAGCAGGGGGACCCAGGAACGCUCUGCGGAGGUGGUGGGAUCCCUCACAUCAGCAUCCCCGGAGGAACCUCCGACCCGCGCACGAGCUGCCGCUCUCAGCCGCGGCGUUUCGAAGUCGUGAAGACGAUGACGAUACGUGGCGGCGAUUCCCGCUUGGGCAAUUCAGCCGUUUGCAAUUUUGCUUCUUUCCAAACGCCCUCCGGGCUCUUUUCCACGUUAUAAACAAACCAGCCUGCAACAUGUCGUGCGGAAGGCAGAAACCGGUGCCCUGGAUGCUCGCCCUGCGCUGCAUUUCUGCUUAUUUUUUGAUAGGGAAACCUGAAAAUACCACUUGGUGUAGCGCUUUGGUGAUGCUUUUCAGCGGAGUUAUGUCUGAUGGAACAAACUGCAAGAGCAAGCAUGUUUUGAAAAGAAAGCCUGUGCUCUUUUUCGCUGGGGUUUUGUUUAAAAAUUAAAAAGGGAGUUCUACUCCGUGUCCAUAUAAAGGGUUUCGUGACGCGGCUGUGGGGAGUGUUCACCGCUUGGCAUUUCCAAUUGUGAGACAAAAAAGGAAACAGGAAGGAACGAUGUAAACAGCGCGCUGCUCUCUGCAUGGUUUCAGCAAACUCCAAGUCAACACAAAAUAGUGGAGUGCACCAGGCAUGGGCUCUGCUUUGUGUCGGAGCCGGGUUUAUUUUGGAAGCGGAGCAGAUCCAAAGCCGGUGAGUUACGGAGCUCCUGGGACAAGAGCCAGAGGACUCAGGCUAAGGAGCCAUGGGUCACCGGGCGCAAACUGGAGCUGCUCCACUGCAUCUCGGUGGGCAGUUUUGGGGAAGAUCGUCUUGUUUGGAGAAUGUGAUGAAGAUUUAGAAGAGCGACAGAGCUGGUGUGGAGGAGCCCAUCUCCAAGCAAAAGCUGGAUCAGCUGUGAUCUGAGGAGGAAAUAGCGAUCUGCACAGACUGCGUUGCUGGUGAGGAGGAAGGAGACCGAGGAGGAAUGUGACAGAUCUAUAAGAUGGACAUGUCAACGUGUUCCAGCUGCUGAAGGUGGAACAGGAGGAGGCUUCACCCUAGUCUGGCAAUUUCGGGAGACAGAAGAAUGAUAGGAAAGGAGUGCUGGGAAUGGAGCGGGCAGCUCUCCAGGGCCGCUGUGACCGGGAAGACCCUUCAGCAAACUUGCAUGAAGCCUCCUGGCCCACGACAGCUCCAGAACAUCCCCGGGACGUCCUACACCACAUCGAAUCGCUUCUCCGGCAGCGCUGGAGGUGCUUCUUCUUGGGGUUCGGGG